This 52-nucleotide microRNA precursor is filed under the name Bos taurus (domestic cattle). Its description in RNAcentral is "mir-1302 microRNA precursor family". It matches the Rfam family "mir-1302 microRNA precursor family". RNAcentral also lists the same sequence under 5 other names. The record is from Rfam by way of RNAcentral. Lineage: Eukaryota; Metazoa; Chordata; Mammalia; Artiodactyla; Bovidae.
UUUUUAAUAUAAGUAUCUCACAUGCAAUACUUGGGAUAUACUUAUACUAAAA